RNAcentral lists this ribosomal RNA (913 nucleotides) under uncultured marine archaeon. Its description in RNAcentral is "bacterial SSU rRNA". It matches the Rfam family "Archaeal small subunit ribosomal RNA", at positions 1 to 922 of the family's 1478-position model. The record is from RNAcentral.
UUCCGGUUGAUCCUGCCGGACCUGACUGCUAUCGGAUUGAUACUAAGCCAUGCGAGUCUUUGUAGUAAUACAAGGCAUACGGCUCAGUAACGCGUAGUCAACCUACCCUAUGGACAAGAAUAAUCUCGGGAAACUGAGCAUAAUUCUUGAUAGACCAUAAUGCCUGGAAUGGUUUAUGGUUAAAAUGAUUCGUCGCCAUAGGAUGGGACUGCGGCCUAUCAGCUUGUUGGUGAGGUAAUGGCCCACCAAGGCGAUUACAGGUACGGGCUCUGAGAGGAGAAGCCCGGAGAUGGGUACUGAGACAAGGACCCAGGCCCUAUGGGGCGCAGCAGGCGAGAAAACUUUGCAAUGUGCGAAAGCACGACAAGGUUAGUCCGAGUGAUUUCUGCUAAAGAGAUCUUUUGCUAGUUAUAAAACCACUAGUGAAUAAGGGGUGGGCAAGUUCUGGUGUCAGCCGCCGCGGUAAAACCAGCACCUCAAGUGGUCAGGAUGAUUAUUGGGCCUAAAGCAUCCGUAGCCGGCUCUGUAAGUUUUCGGUUAAAUCUAUGCGCUCAACGUAUGGGCUGCCGAAAAUACUGUAGAGAUAGGGAGUGGGAGAGGUAGACGGUACUCGGUAGGAAGGGGUAAAAUCCUUUGAUCUAUCGAUGACCACCUGUGGCGAAGGCGGUCUACCAGAACACGUUCGACGGUGAGGGAUGAAAGCUGGGGGAGCAAACCGGAUUAGAUACCCGGGUAGUCCCAGCUGUAAACGAUGCAGACUCGAUGAUGCAUUGGCAUAUAGCCAGUGCAGUGUCGCAGGGAAGCCGUUAAGUCUGCCGCCUGGGAAGUACGUACGCAAGUAUGAACUUAAAGGAAUUGGCGGGGGAGCACCACAAGGGGUGAAGCCUGCGGUUCAAUUGGAUUCAACGCCGGG